RNAcentral lists this small nuclear RNA (105 nucleotides) under Dasypus novemcinctus (nine-banded armadillo). The record is from RNAcentral. Lineage: Eukaryota; Metazoa; Chordata; Mammalia; Cingulata; Dasypodidae.
GUGCUUGCUUCAGCAGCACAUAUACUAAAAUUGGAACAAUACAGAGAUUAGGGUUUGCCCCUGUGCAAGGAUGACACGCAAAUCUGUGAAGCAUUCCAUAUUUUU